This 253-nucleotide ribosomal RNA is filed under the name uncultured bacterium. RNAcentral's name for it is "partial 16S ribosomal RNA". It matches the Rfam family "Bacterial small subunit ribosomal RNA", at positions 524 to 776 of the family's 1533-position model. The record is from RNAcentral.
UACGGGGGGAGCAAGCGUUGUUCGGAUUUACUGGGCGUAAAGCGCGCGUAGGCGGCUUUUCAAGUCGGAUGUGAAAUCCCCGGGCUUAACCUGGGAACUGCAUUCGAGACUGUCUAGCUAGAGUAUGGGAGAGGGAAGUGGAAUUUCAGGUGUAGCGGUGAAAUGCGUAGAUAUCUGAAGGAACAUCAGUGGCGAAAGCGGCAUACUGGACCACUACUGACGCUGAUGCGCGAAAGCCAGGGGAGCAAACGGG